UGAUGGUAUAAUUUUUUUCUUUGGUGGUCUUCCUUGAUCAUAUGAGCAGAUGAUGGUUUUGAAGUCACUUUCAAAGCUUUUGCUGAGUUCUUUCAUGGCCAUGUCUUUGUUAACGAAAAAGGCAUUAGACCAUAGUUCCCUGUUGAAAGAAAAUGGGCUUUUGGCCUUCACGUACAGUGGAUGGGAAAAAGUAGGAAUUAAUCAAGGGUCAGAAGAUUGAAACAAGCAUUAGGCAAACAAUGGCUCACCACCUGCUUUCUUCUUCUUUUUCCAGAUUCUUAAAGAGAGCUUGCUCGGAGUUGGAAAGUGGUGGCCAUGGCUUUCAGGCAGGAGGAGGCAUAUUCUUCACCGCUGUGAGGAAAGUGAUUUUCGCACUACAUUUGUGCUGCUUGCAACGAUUGCAUUUGCAGAACUUUUCUGAUGAGACUCUAGAGUGCUCAUGUUUUGAAGCUUAAAACAUGUUCGUUCUUUGUUAUCUUUGAUACACAAUCUCUUUUGUAGAAGAAAACGCUUUAUAUAGUCUCCCAAGCUAUGUGAUUUCAGAUUAGCUACAUGGACAUCUGCAGCUUUAGUUCUUUUCCUUUGCACAACUAUCAAAUGAACUUUUGGGGGCUCAGCCACACAAAAGGAACCUUGCAUGGCAACAAAAGGAACUAAGAGAGUUCUGCAAUGCAAAAGGAAUAGUUUUGACUGCUGUCUCGCCUCUUAGGAAAGGUGCCAGCAAGGGACCAAAUGAAGUUAUGGAGAAUGAUAUGCUCAAAGAGAUUGUUGAGGCUCAUGGAAAGUCUAUAGCUCAUGUCAGUCUAAGAUGGUUGUAUGAACAAGGAGUCACUUUUGUGGCAAAGAGCUAUGAUAAGGACAUAAUGAACCAAAAUCUGCAAAUCUUUGAUUGGGCACUCACAAAGGAGGAUCUUGAGAAAAUAGAUCAAAUCGAGUAGAACCGUUUAAUUCCUGGACCAACCAAGCCCCGGCUCAAUGAUCUCUUUGAUGACCAAGCAUAAUUUAUUGAAGUUUGUGUGGGAAUGAAUUCUUUUAAUUUUAAUACAUGAUUCUUAGAAUGUAGAGCUGUGAAUUGAGCUCAGCCAUUCUCUUUUGGGUUCUGUUUCGGGUUUAAAUAAUUGAUGUCGCAUCCUAUUUUAUACAAAUUUGUUCUGAAUAACAAUAUUCAUUAUUAUUUUUCAAGAGACACUUGAAUUUCAUACUUUA
Long non-coding RNA from Lotus japonicus, 1206 nucleotides. RefSeq lists it as uncharacterized. The record is from RefSeq and is a predicted model, not a curated record. NCBI's taxonomy places the organism in Eukaryota, Viridiplantae, Streptophyta, Magnoliopsida, Fabales, Fabaceae. The transcript is spliced from 6 exons.